Pteropus vampyrus (large flying fox) is the source of this 121-nucleotide ribosomal RNA. The record is from Ensembl. Lineage: Eukaryota; Metazoa; Chordata; Mammalia; Chiroptera; Pteropodidae.
ACCUACGGCCAUGCCACCCUGAACACACCUGAUCCCGUCUUAUCUUGGAAGCUAAGCACAGUCGGGCUUGGUUAGUACCUGGAUGGGAGACCACCUAGGAAGACCAGGUACUAUAUAGGCU